Molecule: transfer RNA, 90 nt
Filed under: Pseudomonadales bacterium
Lineage: Bacteria; Pseudomonadati; Pseudomonadota; Gammaproteobacteria; Pseudomonadales
Also listed under: 1 other name
Description: tRNA-Ser
Rfam family: tRNA
About the family: Transfer RNA (tRNA) molecules are approximately 80 nucleotides in length. Their secondary structure includes four short double-helical elements and three loops (D, anti-codon, and T loops).
Source: RNAcentral
GGAGAGGUGCCGGAGUUGGUCGAACGGGCCUGACUCGAAAUCAGGUGUGUCCUUUGGGCACCCAGGGUUCGAAUCCCUGCCUCUCCGCCA